RNAcentral lists this ribosomal RNA (290 nucleotides) under uncultured bacterium. RNAcentral describes it as "partial 16S ribosomal RNA". It matches the Rfam family "Bacterial small subunit ribosomal RNA", at positions 505 to 794 of the family's 1533-position model. The record is from RNAcentral.
GUGCCAGCAGCCGCGGUAAUACGGAGGGUGCAAGCGUUAUCCGGAAUCACUGGGCGCAAAGGGCGCGUAGGUGGUCUAUCAAGUCCGAUGUCAAAGCCCGGGGCUCAACCCCGGUACGGCCUUGGAUACUGAUAGGCUUGACGACUGGAGAGGUGAGUGGAAUUACCAGUGUAGCGGUGGAAUGCGUAGAUACUGGUAGGAACACCUAUUGCGAAGGCAGCUCACUGGACAGUCCGUGACACUGAGGCGCGAAAGUGUGGGGAGCAAACAGGAAUAGAUACCCGGGUACC